This 483-nucleotide ribosomal RNA is filed under the name uncultured bacterium. RNAcentral's name for it is "partial 16S ribosomal RNA". It matches the Rfam family "Bacterial small subunit ribosomal RNA", at positions 30 to 507 of the family's 1533-position model. The record is from RNAcentral.
UUGAACGCUGGCGGCAGGCCUAACACAUGCAAGUCGAGCGGAUGAAGGGAGCUUGCUCCUGGAUUCAGCGGCGGACGUGUGAGUAAUGCCUAGGAAUCUGCCUGGUAGUGGGGGAUAACGUCCGGAAACGGGCGCUAAUACCGCAUACGUCCUGAGGGAGAAAGUGGGGGAUCUUCGGACCUCACGCUAUCAGAUGAGCCUAGGUCGGAUUAGCUAGUUGGUGGGGUAAAGGCCUACCAAGGCGACGAUCCGUAACUGGUCUGAGAGGAUGAUCAGUCACACUGGAACUGAGACACGGUCCAGACUCCUACGGGAGGCAGCAGUGGGGAAUAUUGGACAAUGGGCGAAAGCCUGAUCCAGCCAUGCCGCGUGUGUGAAGAAGGUCUUCGGAUUGUAAAGCACUUUAAGUUGGGAGGAAGGGCAGUAAGUUAAUACCUUGCUGUUUUGACGUUACCAACAGAAUAAGCACCGGCUAACUUCGUG